AGUGGGUAGUCCGUACGAGCGCACCCUAUCCUUAGUUGCCAGCGAGUCAUGUCGGGAACUCUAGGGAGACUGCCGGUGACAAACCGGAGGAAGGUGGGGACGACGUCAAGUCAUCAUGGCCCUUAUGGGCAGGGCUACACACGUGUUACAAUGGCCGGUACAAUGGGCUGCAAACCUGCGAGGGUAAGCCAAUCCCAAAAAACCGGCCCCAGUUCAGAUUGGAGUCUGCAACUCGACUCCAUGAAGGCGGAAUCGCUAGUAAUCGCGGAUCAGCACGCCGCGGUGAAUACGUUCCCGGGUCUUGUACACACCGCCCGUCAAGCCAUGGAAGUCGGCAGUACCCGAAGCCGGUGUCCCAACUCUUCGGAGAGGGAGCCGUCGAAGGUAAGGCUGGUAACUAGGGCUAAGUCGUAACAAGGUAGCCGUACCGGAAGGUGCGGCUGGAUCACCUCCUUUCU
Molecule: ribosomal RNA, 458 nt
Filed under: uncultured bacterium
Lineage: Bacteria
Description: bacterial SSU rRNA
Rfam family: Bacterial small subunit ribosomal RNA
Source: RNAcentral